RNAcentral lists this ribosomal RNA (442 nucleotides) under Liparis montagui (Montagu's sea snail). Its description in RNAcentral is "partial small subunit ribosomal RNA". It matches the Rfam family "Bacterial small subunit ribosomal RNA", at positions 8 to 794 of the family's 1533-position model. The record is from RNAcentral. Lineage: Eukaryota; Metazoa; Chordata; Actinopteri; Perciformes; Liparidae.
CAAAGGCUUGGUCCUGACUUUACUACCAACUUUAGACGAAAUUACACAUGCAAGUAUCCGCCCUCCUGUGAGAAUGCCCUACAGUUCCCUGUCCGGGAACAAGGAGCAGGUAUCAGGCACACCCAUCAAGCCCACAACACCUUGUUCAGCCACACCCUCAAGGGAACUCAGCAGUGAUAAACAUUAAGCCAUAAGUGAAAACUUGACUUAGUUAAAGCUAAAAGGGCCGGUAAAACUCGUGCCAGCCACCGCGGUUAUACGAGAGGCCCAAGUUGAAAGACACCGGCGUAAAGCGUGGUUAAACUAAAAUUUAAAUUAAAGUUAAACAUCUUCAAGACUGUUAUACGUACCCGAAGGCAGGAACCCCAAUCACGAAAGUAACUUUAUAUAAGCUGAACCCACGAAAGCUAUAGCACAAACUGGGAUUAGAUACCCCACUAUG